AUUGAACGCUGGCGGCAGGCCUAACACAUGCAAGUCGAGCGGAUGAAGGGAGCUUGCUCCUGGAUUCAGCGGCGGACGGGUGAGUAAUGCCUAGGAAUCUGCCUGGUAGUGGGGGAUAACGUCCGGAAACGGGCGCUAAUACCGCAUACGUCCUGAGGGAGAAAGUGGGGGAUCUUCGGACCUCACGCUAUCAGAUGAGCCUAGGUCGGAUUAGCUAGUUGGUGGGGUAAAGGCCUACCAAGGCGACGAUCCGUAACUGGUCUGAGAGGAUGAUCAGUCACACUGGAACUGAGACACGGUCCAGACUCCUACGGGAGGCAGCAGUGGGGAAUAUUGGACUAUGGGCGAAAGCCUGAUCCAGCCAUGCCGCGUGUGUGAAGAAGGUCUUCGGAUUGUAAAGCACUUUAAGUUGGGAGGAAGGGCAGUAAGUUAAUACCUUGCUGUUUUGACGGUACCAACAGAAUAAGCACCGGCUAACUUCGUG
This 484-nucleotide ribosomal RNA is filed under the name uncultured bacterium. Its description in RNAcentral is "partial 16S ribosomal RNA". It matches the Rfam family "Bacterial small subunit ribosomal RNA", at positions 30 to 507 of the family's 1533-position model. The record is from RNAcentral.